Neopelma chrysocephalum (saffron-crested tyrant-manakin) is the source of this 495-nucleotide long non-coding RNA. RefSeq lists it as uncharacterized. Lineage: Eukaryota; Metazoa; Chordata; Aves; Passeriformes; Pipridae. The record is from RefSeq and is a predicted model, not a curated record. The transcript has 3 exons.
AUGUUCUCAUUCACUGAUGCAGAAAACUUGUUGAGUCUUAUCCUUUUCCCAUUUUUAUAUGACUACCUGUGUACAGAUUUUUACACUCGUUUUGCCUACAGGCUGUGCACAGAAAACCAGCGUUUACUUUGUUUUCUAGAGCACAGCAAGCUCUGACUCACAGCGAGGGGUGCUUUGCAGGUACCAUCUGCACUGUGCUACCAGCACCUUGAGUUUUUCUGCUGUCUUUCAGAAUAAGAAACAGAAACAUGAAGUGAUGCCACUUGGCCAAAGCUACAGAGAAAGGAGGUGGCAGAAUUGUACCUUGACACUUCCCAGGUAUUGUGAUUUUUGUCUCGUGCUCUGCUGUGGAGCCAAAGGUCUUCUAGAGGCUAAUGAUUUGGGGUGAUGCCUUUUAGUUACUUACAGAUAGGCUGUUCUGACAGUGCCAUCAGGCACUUACCUGAGCCUUUGGGUAAUGACACACUCUGUCAAAUCGAGCCUGUGCUGUUCUGU